ACAUAAACCUCAACUCCACCACUAACCAGCUGUGUUAGCUUUGAUUAUUGGAGCAUGUUCUAAGGAUUAUUUUGACAUGUUUUGUUCACCAUAGAUAUGUCUUGUGCUACUAGGAGAGCUUACACUAUAGUCUGAACUUCUACAGAGCUUUUUCCUACUGUGAACCUCACUCAAAAACGACAACCUUCCAUUUCACAAGAAUCAGAGCCUCACUAUGUUGCCCCAGUGGUCUUGACUCCUGGCCUCAAGUGAUCUUCCUGCCUCAGCUUACCAAAGUGUUGGGAUUACAGGUGUGAUCCACAGUGCCCAGUCUGUGUGUGUUUUUAUAAUUGGAAGUACAUAACAUCCUUUACACAAUAUGCAAGUGCAUAUUGAGGAAGGAGGGAGACCAAAUAGGUCUAAAAGUAAGAAGAAUAAGUCUUGACCCAUUAACUGUACAGAUCAAAAUCCACGCUAAUUUUAGAUGUACAGAACACUAUGUCUUUUUAAAAAUCUAUUUAGAAAUUACUUACGGUAUUUUUUAGAAAAUGCACAGGAACUCCUGUUAAAAAAUAAAAUAUUUCU
Molecule: long non-coding RNA, 564 nt
Organism: Cercocebus atys (sooty mangabey)
Lineage: Eukaryota; Metazoa; Chordata; Mammalia; Primates; Cercopithecidae
Exons: 2
Source: RefSeq, a predicted model, not a curated record